CCCUGGGUGGCUCAGUUGGUUGAGCAUCUGAAUUUGGCUCAGGUCAUGAUCUUCCGUCUGUAGGUUCAAACCCCACAUCAGGCU
Molecule: transfer RNA, 84 nt
Filed under: Felis catus (domestic cat)
Lineage: Eukaryota; Metazoa; Chordata; Mammalia; Carnivora; Felidae
Also listed under: 4 other names
Rfam family: tRNA
About the family: Transfer RNA (tRNA) molecules are approximately 80 nucleotides in length. Their secondary structure includes four short double-helical elements and three loops (D, anti-codon, and T loops). Further hydrogen bonds mediate the characteristic L-shaped molecular structure. tRNAs have two regions of fundamental functional importance: the anti-codon, which is responsible for specific mRNA codon recognition, and the 3' end, to which the tRNAs corresponding amino acid is attached (by aminoacyl-tRNA synthetases). tRNAs cope with the degeneracy of the genetic code in two manners: having more than one tRNA (with a specific anti-codon) for a particular amino acid; and 'wobble' base-pairing, i.e. permitting non-standard base-pairing at the 3rd anti-codon position.
Source: Rfam by way of RNAcentral